GAAAAAAUUAUCUUCUUCUGCCGUCAUCGUUGUCGAAACCAUUUGCAGAGAUUUUGUUUUUCUUUGUGCUUCCUUUCUCGAGAUAUACUUCCCUCAUCAUGAGAGCGUAUCAUUGUCGCAAAAAAAUAUUAUAGGAGAAGGUCAUCAAAGGUAUUUAGAGAAAAGAUUAAGGAGAGAACUGGAUAUAUCUUCAAAGAGAGAAUUGGUUUAGUCGAUGAAUUGGGGGAGAAAUGGGAAGACGAGAUAUGCGAUUCAGAAUCAGAAGAGAAAAUGAGGGAUUCAGACACGAACGAAGCUGGAAAGAAUCGACCAGUUCUUGAGACAAGUGAUGGCAAGGGGAAAAAUAAAAAGAGAGAUAAGAAGAGGAAGAAGAAGAGUGAUGAUUUCAACAAAUUUUUAUGGUUCCAUGAACAAGACAAAGAAGGAAUUAGGCAAGAAGAGAAUAAUUUUGAUUAACUUCGUGCAAAAAACCAGAGACUCUUGCGAAGAUAGAAAGUAGAGAUGCGGUCUUCCGUUAUGUUUACCAGUAAAGGGAUAAUCCCAAUGCUCUUGGUAGAGCCGACGGGAGCAGACUCUGUGUAUUGACAACAUACGGCAUUACCCUGGAGCUUCUUUUAUCCCGGAUUGCAUAUACUUCAGCGAGAGAUUCCGACUUGCAACAGUGAAUUCUUCUUUCUACUUUUUGACCUCUCAUAUUAGUUUGUUGUAGAAAAAAUGAUAUCAGUAUAUAUUAACUGUGCCAAUAUGUUGCAUCGUUAGCAAGGCCUCUUAUCUAUUGCCAUGGCAAGUAUGUGAUUAGGUAUAAAACCUUGAUUAGCUUGAUCUUUAAAUAUAUUAGGCCAGGUUUUUUAAAAUAAGUUGAUAAGAUAUGCUACAUAAAUGUUUUGAUAAUGGUGCUUGUGUGAUUGUUUCCAUUUUCAAUAAGCGGGUCCUUUCUCUCAUAUUCAUCUCUACUUAUGUGUGUGCACCUAUGUUGUAGUAUAUUAGCGAGAAGAACUUUAUUUGAUAUUAUCAACUCAACUUUUACAAUUGCAGGUUAUUAGAUAUAUAUAGGUUACUACUCCAUCUGAUGGAUUCAGUAACCGGUUACCUCGAUCCUCCGUUAAAGACAUUCAGUAUUUCAGGACUUGGAGGACACACAAGAACAAGCAUGACUCCGUUGUGCGUCUUAAACAUCUCCCCAUCGGAAUCGUAGCUCAGGCCGUCGAGGAUCGUUCGCAGCAUAAGAAUCGUGCUUCUGCUCUGAAUCAACUGAGUCUUCUUUUUCUCGCUAUUAAGUAUAGGGAGUUAUUCAAGAAGAAAGCAAAAAAAUUUACAUUAUACUUGAUGGAAUAAUGCAGAGCCUUAUAGAAUAUAGGGUUAACAUAAUAAAUAAAUUAAAUUUAGUAUUUCUAAAUAAAAGUAUAGCCCAUAUCUAGUAUACAAAUUAAUAAGAAUCUGCAUAUUAGACGCUA
Camelina sativa (false flax) is the source of this 1454-nucleotide non-coding RNA. Lineage: Eukaryota; Viridiplantae; Streptophyta; Magnoliopsida; Brassicales; Brassicaceae. The record is from RefSeq and is a predicted model, not a curated record.